This 528-nucleotide ribosomal RNA is filed under the name Fusarium oxysporum. RNAcentral describes it as "eukaryotic LSU rRNA". The stretch from base 164 to 317 matches the Rfam family "5.8S ribosomal RNA". The record is from RNAcentral. Lineage: Eukaryota; Fungi; Ascomycota; Sordariomycetes; Hypocreales; Nectriaceae.
GCGGAGGGAUCAUUACCGAGUUUACAACUCCCAAACCCCUGUGAACAUACCACUUGUUGCCUCGGCGGAUCAGCCCGCUCCCGGUAAAACGGGACGGCCCGCCAGAGGACCCCUAAACUCUGUUUCUAUAUGUAACUUCUGAGUAAAACCAUAAAUAAAUCAAAACUUUCAACAACGGAUCUCUUGGUUCUGGCAUCGAUGAAGAACGCAGCAAAAUGCGAUAAGUAAUGUGAAUUGCAGAAUUCAGUGAAUCAUCGAAUCUUUGAACGCACAUUGCGCCCGCCAGUAUUCUGGCGGGCAUGCCUGUUCGAGCGUCAUUUCAACCCUCAAGCACAGCUUGGUGUUGGGACUCGCGUUAAUUCGCGUUCCUCAAAUUGAUUGGCGGUCACGUCGAGCUUCCAUAGCGUAGUAGUAAAACCCUCGUUACUGGUAAUCGUCGCGGCCACGCCGUUAAACCCCAACUUCUGAAUGUUGACCUCGGAUCAGGUAGGAAUACCCGCUGAACUUAAGCAUAUCAAUAAGCGGAGG